This is a non-coding RNA of Potamilus streckersoni, 83 nucleotides long. The record is from the annotation of a GenBank genome assembly. Lineage: Eukaryota; Metazoa; Mollusca; Bivalvia; Unionida; Unionidae.
GCUUUGGUGGCGUAAUGGUUAGAGCAUCCACCUCUGAUGCGGGAGAUCGCAGGCUCGAACCCUACUGAGUCAUACCAAAGACU